CCUACGGGAGGCAGCAGUGGGGAAUAUUGGGCAAUGGGUGAAAGCCUGACCCAGCAACGCCGCGUGAAGGAAGAAGGCUUUCGGGUUGUAAACUUCUUUUGACAGGGACGAGGAGAAGACGGUACCUGUCGAAUAAGCCACGGCCAACUACGUGCCAGCAGCCGCGGUAAUACGGAGGUGGCAAGCGUUGUCCGGAUUUACCGGGUGGAAAGGGCGUGUAGCCGGGCUGACAAGUCAGAUGUGAAAUCCGGGGGCUCAACCCCCGAACUGCAUUUGAAACUGUUGGUCUUGAGUAGCGGAGAGGCAGGCGGAAUUCCGAGUGUAGCGGUGAAAUGCGUAGAUAUUAGGAGGAACACCAGUGGCGAAGGCGGACUGCUGGACGACAACUGACGGUGAGGCGCGAAAGCGUGGGGAGCAAACAGGAUUAGAUACCCUUGUAGUC
RNAcentral lists this ribosomal RNA (442 nucleotides) under uncultured bacterium. Its description in RNAcentral is "partial 16S ribosomal RNA". It matches the Rfam family "Bacterial small subunit ribosomal RNA", at positions 338 to 795 of the family's 1533-position model. The record is from RNAcentral.